This 453-nucleotide ribosomal RNA is filed under the name uncultured Porphyromonadaceae bacterium. RNAcentral's name for it is "partial 16S ribosomal RNA". It matches the Rfam family "Bacterial small subunit ribosomal RNA", at positions 341 to 792 of the family's 1533-position model. The record is from RNAcentral. Lineage: Bacteria; Pseudomonadati; Bacteroidota; Bacteroidia; Bacteroidales; Porphyromonadaceae.
ACGGAAGGCAGCAGUGAGGAAUAUUGGUCAAUGGGCGGAAGCCUGAACCAGCCAAGUCGCGUGAAGGAUGAAGGUAUUAUGUAUUGUAAACUUCUUUAGCAGCAGAGUAAUAAGGAGGUCGUGACCUCCGAUGCAAGUAUGCUGAAAAUAAGGAUCGGCUAACUCCGUGCCAGCAGCCGCGGUAAUACGGAGGAUCCGAGCGUUAUCCGGAUUUAUUGGGUUUAAAGGGUGCGCAGGCGGCCCUGUAAGUCAGCGGUUAAAUAGUGAGGCUCAACCUCAUCCCGCCGUUGAUACUGGCAUGCUUGAUUGCGGUCGAGGUUGGCGGAAUUCGCCGUGUAGCGGUGAAAUGCAUAGAUAUGGCGAAGAACUCCGAUUGCGUAGGCAGCUGACCAGGCCGUAAAUGACGCUCAUGCACGAAAGUGCGGGGAUCGAACAGGAUUAGAUACCCUGGUA